Molecule: long non-coding RNA, 2667 nt
Organism: Bubalus bubalis (water buffalo)
Lineage: Eukaryota; Metazoa; Chordata; Mammalia; Artiodactyla; Bovidae
Exons: 2
Source: RefSeq, a predicted model, not a curated record
UGGGUUGCCAUUUCCUUCUGCAAUGCAUGAAAGUGAAAAGUGAAAGUGACGCCGCUCAGUCGUGUCCGACCCUCAGCUACCCCAUGGACUGCAGCCUACCAGGCUCCUCCGUCCAUGGGGGGCCUGCACUACUUUUGUCUCUAUGCAGCUUGUGCUCUGGCUUCACUAACCCAAAGCCCCAUGUCCCUGCGUGCUCUUCUGUGUGACACGUAUUUAUUUUGGCUGCCCUGGGUCUUCGUGUGCCCGGGCUUUCCCGAGUCGCUGUGAGCAGGGUCUGCUCUCUAGCUGCGGUGCUUGGGCUUCUCCCUGCAGUGGCUUCAGUUGUUGCAGAGCAUGGGUUCAGUACUUGUGGUGCACGGGCUUAGUUGCCUGGAACAUGUGGGAUCUUCCCAGACCAGGGAUCGAACCCCUGUCCCGUGCAUUGGCAGGUGGAUCCUUAACCACUGGACGAAUGGGGAAGUCCUCCUCUACAUGAUUUUGAAUGGCUUCAGGGUAUUCUUUCAUAGGAAUGAGCCACAAAAAUUCACUCGGUACAAGAUUCCUAGGUUUUCACAACUGUAAGCUUUAUACACAUAUUCCUUAUGAUGAACCCAUAGCUGUAGAACUUCUGGAUCAAAGAGGGCCUAUGAGACCCAUCCGGCAUCCAUCUCCCAGAAUUUCACAUCACGUCUGAACCAAAAUCCUACUUUAGGGGCCCUGAGUGUUCAUCAUCGCAGAAAGAACUCGCUGCGACGCCGAGUGGUGCUCCUCAGAGUUAAGGGGUGCUUGGCGGAGCAUCACAACCAGAGGGAGCCGAGUGGCUCAGAACUGUUUUUGAUCAGUUCCUUACCUCGUGAGUGAUUUAAACUCGGAUGUCUCUGGAAGACACGCCACAGGCCAUGUUUCAGACCUGGUGCAUAUGUAGUCAAUGGAACAUCACCACAGGCUCAGAUUAGGAAGAAAGAAUAAUUUAUUCAUCUUCAUCACCCAAAUGCCACCACUUGCCAUGAUCAUUAUCAUCCCAACUUUGCUUUUCCUUCUUCCAUAUCCUGUCCUGUUUGUUCCCAUGGAUGCUUUGCCUUCUCCUGCACAUCUCAUUCGGUUGAGUUGGGUUCCUCUGGAUUCCUCAGAACAGAGUAAGAGGCAACUACAUUCAUCAGGUCUUUAGAAAAAUCCUGGCACCCAUCGGGAUCACAUGAGGUGUAAUCUGCAGGGUCAGUGGCUUCGGGAGGACUUGCAGACCAUCUUCUUUACAAGUGAAACAUAUUCCUUAUUAUCCCUUGAGUCGUUGGGUUCAUAGAGGGCGGAGCCAAAUCAAGCAAUGGUGAAAAGAUCUGUCAAGAUAAAUGUGCACAGCGGCAGUCAUUUAGGAGUUAAUUUUCGAAUGAGAAGGGGCAAACAUAACCUGCUUCAGGUGAAAAGGAGAAAUUAAAUUGUGUUUCUUUGAUCUUAGAGGCUGCCUAAUUGACACUCUCAUCAGUCACCAAUAAAAGGGAAGGCGUGGCAGAAGACUCCAGGAUGUCAGAAAGAAGCACAACCUGAGUAGAGGUGAGGUAGAGACCAGCGUUGCCCAAGGUCAUAGCAAGAGACGGGGUGGAGGGAGCGCUCCCUUUCUGACUGGUGGCUCAGUGGUCAGUCCACGUUGACCAAAAGAGGUUGCUUGUACUAUGCAAGUAAAAUAUGAACGCCCAGGUUGUUGGGGAGCAAGAAGACACUCAGAAUACGAGGUGGAAAGGGGGAGCCGGGAGCAGGAGAAACCAGACUUCCCUCUUAUGUGUUGCUUCAUGCCUCUGCUGGUGAACAGGAGGAGAAGAGAGAAAUGGCUGACUCCAAACCCACAGUUCCUGUCCUGGAGGUGACCCCAUCCCACGGUUUGGAUGCUGCCUCCGCCAGAUGACACCUGACACGGGGGCAAGGUUCUUCUCAACAGAGAUAGAUGCGUACUCACCCCGCAGCUGGAAAUUUUCCCAACAGCGCCCAUUUGGAAAUUCCAUUGUCAGUUAUAAAACAGACCUCCCCCGAGGUUGAGAGGAGGAGGGAAAGGCAGAGAUGAGUCUGAAAAUCCAAAGGACUGUAUGGUCUAAGAAUGAAAUGUUUUCUAAAUCAAAUUAAGCUACACCGUGAAAAUUGAGGAGAAAGUCCUUAAGGUGACUUUUAAAUGAAAAUGAAAUGUCUGCUAGUAAGCUACAGAGGUGUAUUGGUACCGAGUGGCAGCCUUGUAUCUCAUUAAUUUCAAACAUAGAUUUUUAUGUGAGGCUAUUUGAUUAUAAUUUGAUUAUCUGACCCUGUAAUUAAAGUUUAUUACCAAUUUGGAAGCUUACAUGUAAAAUGAACUGGUUUUCUUCAAAGCAAUAUACAAUCCUUCGGACUCAUUGACUUCUGGUUUUGCAUUUAAAUGGAAAAGUCAGUUAUAACGUGACAAACAGGUUGGGGUUUUGAUCAUUAAUCCUGCUAAAGCAAUAUUCAUAAAUUCAAUUCUGAAUCAGUUGGAAUACUUUUCUUUUAUUAGUUUCUGUGUUAUUAAAUGAGAUUGUUUCUGACUAAUAUAUUUCUGGACUCAAACUGUAGCUCCAAGCUGUUAUUCAAAUCAAAUAACAUGCCCCUUACUUGUGCCUCGCACUAAUAAAUGCCAACUUGUGAUACAUUUGCAAGAGACUGUCAGCAAUAUUAAAGGAGGCAAUAACGCCA